AUUGAACGCUGGCGGCAGGCCUAACACAUGCAAGUCGAACGGUAACAGGAAGAAGCUUGCUUCUUUGCUGACGAGUGGCGGACGGGUGAGUAAUGUCUGGGAAACUGCCUGAUGGAGGGGGAUAACUACUGGAAACGGUAGCUAAUACCGCAUAACGUCGCAAAACCAAAGAGGGGGACCUUCGGGCCUCUUGCCAUCGGAUGUGCCCAGAUGGGAUUAGCUAGUAGGUGGGGUAACGGCUCACCUAGGCGACGAUCCCUAGCUGGUCUUAGAGGAUGACCAGCCACACUGGAACUGAGACACGGUCCAGACUCCUACGGGAGGCAGCAGUGGGGAAUAUUGCACAAUGGGCGCAAGCCUGAUGCAGCCAUGCCGCGUGUAUGAAGAAGGCCUUCGGGUUGUAAAGUACUUUCAGCGGGGAGGAAGGGAGUAAAGUUAAUACCUUUGCUCAUUGACGUUACCCGCAGAAGAAGCACCGGCUAACUCCGUG
RNAcentral lists this ribosomal RNA (490 nucleotides) under uncultured bacterium. Its description in RNAcentral is "partial 16S ribosomal RNA". It matches the Rfam family "Bacterial small subunit ribosomal RNA", at positions 30 to 507 of the family's 1533-position model. The record is from RNAcentral.